This 72-nucleotide transfer RNA is filed under the name Camelus bactrianus (Bactrian camel). It matches the Rfam family "tRNA". From Rfam's summary of the family: Transfer RNA (tRNA) molecules are approximately 80 nucleotides in length. Their secondary structure includes four short double-helical elements and three loops (D, anti-codon, and T loops). RNAcentral also lists the same sequence under 3 other names. Lineage: Eukaryota; Metazoa; Chordata; Mammalia; Artiodactyla; Camelidae. The record is from Rfam by way of RNAcentral.
GAGGGUAUAGCUCAGUGGAAGAGUGUGUGCUUAGCAUGCACGAGGUCCUGGGUUCAGUCCCCAGUACCUCUA